GACGAACGCUGGCGGCGUGCUUAACACAUGCAAGUCGAACGGUGAAGCGCCUUCCUUUUUGGUGGGUGUGGAUGAGUGGCGAACGGGUGAGUAACACGUGAGUAACCUGCCCCCUUCUUCUGGAUAACCGCAUGAAAGUGUGGCUAAUACGGGAUAUUCUGGGUCUGUCGCAUGAUGGGUCUGGGAAGGAUAUUGUUUCGGUGGGGGAUGGGCUCGCGGCCUAUCAGCUUGUUGGUGGGGUGAUGGCCUACCAAGGCGGUGACGGGUAGCCGGCCUGAGAGGGUGGACGGUCACACUGGGACUGAGACACGGCCCAGACUCCUACGGGAGGCAGCAGUGGGGAAUAUUGCACAAUGGGCGCAAGCCUGAUGCAGCGACGCCGCGUGAGGGAUGGAGGCCUUCGGGUUGUGAACCUCUUUCGCCAGUGAAGCAGGCCUGCCUCGUUUGUGGGUGGGUUGACGGUAGCUGGAUAAGAAGCGCCGGCUAACUACGUG
RNAcentral lists this ribosomal RNA (494 nucleotides) under uncultured bacterium. Its description in RNAcentral is "partial 16S ribosomal RNA". It matches the Rfam family "Bacterial small subunit ribosomal RNA", at positions 28 to 507 of the family's 1533-position model. The record is from RNAcentral.